GAUGAAGAACGCAGCGAAACGCGAUAGGUAAUGUGAAUUGCAGAAUUCAGUGAAUCAUCGAGUCUUUGAACGCACAUUGCGCCCCCUGGUAUUCCGGGGGGCAUGCCUGUCCGAGCGUCAUUGCUGCCCUCAAGCACGGCUUGUGUGUUGGGCCGUCGUCCCCCUCCUAGGGGACGGGCCCGAAAGGCAGCGGCGGCACCGCGUCCGGUCCUCGAGCGUAUGGGGCUUCGUCACCCGCUCCGUAGGCCCGGCCGGCGCUUGCCGACGACCAUCAAUCUCUUUCUCCAGGUUGACCUCGGAUCAGGUAGGGAUACCCGCUGAACUUAAGCAUAUCAAUAAGCGGAGGA
RNAcentral lists this unclassified non-coding RNA (347 nucleotides) under soil metagenome. Its description in RNAcentral is "partial contains 5.8S ribosomal RNA, internal transcribed spacer 2, and large subunit ribosomal RNA". The stretch from base 1 to 120 matches the Rfam family "5.8S ribosomal RNA", at positions 35 to 154 of the family's 154-position model. The record is from RNAcentral.